RNAcentral lists this ribosomal RNA (862 nucleotides) under uncultured bacterium. RNAcentral describes it as "bacterial SSU rRNA". It matches the Rfam family "Bacterial small subunit ribosomal RNA", at positions 1 to 820 of the family's 1533-position model. The record is from RNAcentral.
CGGAGAGUUUGAUCCUGGCUCAGGAUGAACGCUGGCGGCGUGCCUAAUACAUGCAAGUCGAACGCUUUGUGGUUCAACUGAUUUGAAGAGCUUGCUCAGAUAUGACGAUGGACAUUGCAAAGAGUGGCGAACGGGUGAGUAACACGUGGGAAACCUACCUCUUAGCAGGGGAUAACAUUUGGAAACAGAUGCUAAUACCGUAUAACAAUAGCAACCGCAUGGUUGCUACUUAAAAGAUGGUUCUGCUAUCACUAAGAGAUGGUCCCGCGGUGCAUUAGUUAGUUGGUGAGGUAAUGGCUCACCAAGACGAUGAUGUAUAGCCGAGUUGAGAGACUGAUCGGCCACAAUGGGACUGAGACACGGCCCAUACUCCUACGGGAGGCAGCAGUAGGGAAUCUUCCACAAUGGGCGAAAGCCUGAUGGAGCAACGCCGCGUGUGUGAUGAAGGGUUUCGGCUCGUAAAACACUGUUGUAAGAGAAGAAUGACAUUGAGAGUAACUGUUCAAUGUGUGACGGUAUCUUACCAGAAAGGAACGGCUAAAUACGUGCCAGCAGCCGCGGUAAUACGUAUGUUCCAAGCGUUAUCCGGAUUUAUUGGGCGUAAAGCGAGCGCAGACGGUUAUUUAAGUCUGAAGUGAAAGCCCUCAGCUCAACUGAGGAAUUGCUUUGGAAACUGGAUGACUUGAGUGCAGUAGAGGAAAGUGGAACUCCAUGUGUAGCGGUGAAAUGCGUAGAUAUAUGGAAGAACACCAGUGGCGAAGGCGGCUUUCUGGACUGUAACUGACGUUGAGGCUCGAAAGUGUGGGUAGCAGACAGGAUUAGAUACCCUGGUAGUCCCACACCGUAAACGAUGAGUGCUAGG